Molecule: unclassified non-coding RNA, 736 nt
Filed under: Hevea brasiliensis (rubber tree)
Lineage: Eukaryota; Viridiplantae; Streptophyta; Magnoliopsida; Malpighiales; Euphorbiaceae
Source: RNAcentral
AAGAUAUACUCACAAUCAAUGUUACAACUUUCAUAAGACAAAAUCAAAGGCACAAAGAGCAGAUAAUCAAACAAUAGUAUAGGAAAAAAAGAAAAGCAUUCUUAGUCUAUUCAAACCCAAAAUGGGUCAGAGAAUGAACCGAACACCUAUACUGAUAUAUGGAAACCCGUUAUAAGGGGUUCCCAUUAUCAAACCCUAGCCCACAGCUUGAGCCUCUCUCAGCACAAAAAUUAAACCCUGAACUUCAGCCUUUGCUCUUACAUCCAAUAGUUAACAAACAUGAAUUAUACUUUUGGUCAAUGGAAGAAACCCAGGAUCUUCUAGAAACGAGAAAUCAAUCCAUAAUUACCUCCUUUCCUUCAACCUACUCUUCUUUUGAGCGACUCGAGUACUCACCACCAGUCUCUGUCCCGGUCACUGCUGAUGAUGCCGUUGAUGUCAAAUCGUUGCUAGAGCUGUUUCUAAAGCUUUUUGAUGUUAAAGCGGGGUUGCUCUGAGUAUCGGUAGUUGCAGGCCUUUGUGGUCCUUGUCCUUCUUCUGCUAAUUUUUUAAGAAGAUUCAUGACAGUAGGCACGAAUGUAGAAGACAAAGAAAGAAGUCCCGGAAGAAGACCAUUGCUAAAUUGCCCAGAAACAUCUAGCUGCACCCAAAGGGCUUUGGCGAGUAAAUAGAGAACAAAAAUGACUCCCAAAUAUAAAGGAUUUCUUAAAAGGGUCAUAAAUUCAUUAAACCCGAG